CCAGCCGUCGGAAACGGUGGUGACGGUGGACGGGGAGAAUCUGGGAAGCCGGUGAGAUUCCGGCACAGGCCCGCUGCGGUGAACCGAGCCUCCUCCACGGAGGACUCGGCAAGUCCGAAGACCGGCCUCCCGCCUGGCUUCUCC
Molecule: non-coding RNA, 144 nt
Filed under: Nocardioides sp.
Lineage: Bacteria; Bacillati; Actinomycetota; Actinomycetes; Propionibacteriales; Nocardioidaceae
Also listed under: 1 other name
Source: RNAcentral